RNAcentral lists this ribosomal RNA (361 nucleotides) under uncultured bacterium. RNAcentral's name for it is "partial 16S ribosomal RNA". It matches the Rfam family "Bacterial small subunit ribosomal RNA", at positions 338 to 696 of the family's 1533-position model. The record is from RNAcentral.
CCUACGGGAGGCUGCAGUGAGGAAUAUUGGUCAAUGGACGCAAGUCUGAACCAGCCAUGCCGCGUGCAGGAAGACGGCCCUAUGAGUUGUAAACUGCUUUUGUACGAGGGUAAACGCAGAUACGCGUACCUUUUUGAAAGUACUGUACGAAUAAGGAUCGGCUAACUCCGUGCCAGCCGCCGCGGUAAUACGGAGGAUCCAAGCGUUAGCCGGAUUUAUUGGGUUUAAAGGGUGCGUAGGUGGUGUGAUAAGUUGGUGGUGGAAUUCCGGGGCGCAACUGCGGCAUUGCCUGUGAUACUGGCGGGCUAGAGUUUAGUUGCGGUAGGCGGAAUGUAUGGGGUAGCGGGGAAAUGCAUAGAGA